AGGACUGUAAUUUAUAAAAAAUAUUUGAUUUGCAUUUAAAAAAAACUCCUGAGUCUGUCUUA
This 62-nucleotide transfer RNA is filed under the name Hydatophylax nigrovittatus. Its description in RNAcentral is "tRNA-Ala". Lineage: Eukaryota; Metazoa; Arthropoda; Insecta; Trichoptera; Limnephilidae. The record is from RNAcentral.